Molecule: ribosomal RNA, 385 nt
Filed under: Onychogomphus risi
Lineage: Eukaryota; Metazoa; Arthropoda; Insecta; Odonata; Gomphidae
Description: partial 16S ribosomal RNA
Rfam family: Archaeal large subunit ribosomal RNA (bases 1-190)
Source: RNAcentral
GGCCUCUUGUUUAUAUAUGAGGUCAGGCCUGCCCAGUGAUAAUAUAUUUAACGGCCGCGGUAUUUUGACCGUGCAAAGGUAGCAUAAUAAUUAGUCUUUUAAUAGGAGGCUGGUAUGAAGGGUUUAACGAGUUGUUGACUGUCUCACUCGAUUUGAUAUUAAAAUUUAACUUUUCAGUCAAAAGGCUGAAAUUUUUUUGGAAGACGAGAAGACCCUAUAGAUCUUUAUAAUUGAAGGUUUUAUUUAAAUCUUUGUUUAAUCAUAUUUAUUUAUUUCUUUAUUUAUUUUGUUGGGGUGACAAAAAUAUAUAAUUAACUUUUUUAUUUAUUUAACAUUGAUUAAUGAUUUUUAGAUCCAUUCUUAUUGAUUGUUAGAUUAAGUUACC